Non-coding RNA from Rattus norvegicus (Norway rat), 600 nucleotides. NCBI's taxonomy places the organism in Eukaryota, Metazoa, Chordata, Mammalia, Rodentia, Muridae. The record is from RefSeq and is a predicted model, not a curated record.
UAUUCUAAGUUCCGUCAACACUGGCUCUGCUAGUUUCUACUUUCUAGAUCUAAAGUAGCACAGGACAGACAUUCAGAUUAAUACUUGAGGAAUAUCUAAGCAGGUGAGCACUGAUAAAAUUAACUGUCCUGUUCAUUUACUGCAGAUGCUGAGAGCUGCUGUGCUUCCGCUCCAUUCACAAACCUCCCCCUGACCUAGGAAACGUGUGAACAGGAUGUGCAGAUGCUGCAGACAUUUAAACAGAGGCCUGGGCGCCCUUACCAUCAUCGUGUAAUCAAUCUGCGGCGCCAUCUCAGCGUUCGUGCCUCCUUUCAGACGGAGCUCCGACGGAGACGCAGCAAACAGGACACAGGGCAUUGAGACCUGCAUCAAGAGGCACACACUCCUAAGGAAAAGGCAGAGCAGCUUCACUGGACUGUCUUUUGAGUCUCAGAACAGCUGUAUUUGUUACUGCAUGCCAGUGUCACCUGAAGCUCAGACAGUGGAAAAGUUAGAAAACACUUCAGUGUCUGAAGGGUAAAAUCCUGACUCUUACAGGAGUAUUUCAAGGAGAAAGACAAAAGCAAACUGGGCUGAGGUAAUAAAUAAGUCAAUCGUAAA